AUUGAACGCUGGCGGCAUGCCUUACACAUGCAAGUCGAACGGUAACGGGUCCUUCGGGAUGCCGACGAGUGGCGCACGGGUGAGUAAUAUAUCGGAACGUGCCCAGCAGUGGGGGAUAACUGCUCGAAAGAGCAGCUAAUACCGCAUACGACCUGAGGGUGAAAGGGGGGGAUCGCAAGACCUCUCGCGAUUGGAGCGGCCGAUAUCAGAGUGGCUAGCUGGUGGGGUAAAGGCCUACCAAGGCAACGAUCGGUAGUUGGUCUGAGAGGACGACCGGCCACACUGGGACUGAGACACGGCCCAGACUCCUACGGGAGGCAGCAGUGGGGAAUGUUGGACAAUGGGCGCAAGCCUGAUCCAGCAAUGCGGCGUGCAGGAAGAAGGCCUUCGGGUUGUAAACUGCUUUUGUCAGGGAAGAAAUCUUCUGGGCUAAUACCCCGGGAGGAUGACGGUACCUGAAGAAUAAGCACCGGCUAACUACGUG
This 484-nucleotide ribosomal RNA is filed under the name uncultured bacterium. RNAcentral's name for it is "partial 16S ribosomal RNA". It matches the Rfam family "Bacterial small subunit ribosomal RNA", at positions 29 to 507 of the family's 1533-position model. The record is from RNAcentral.